GAGCGAAGUGAGUUGGAUGAAAUUUCGGAUGGAAUCCAAACUUAUCGUUAGCGGCGGACGGGUGAGUAACGCGUGAGGAACCUGCCUUCCACAAAGGGAUAGCCUCGGGAAACUGGAUUAAUACCUUAUGAAACUAAUUUACCGCAUGGUAUAGUAGUUAAAGCGUAAAGCGGUGGAAGAUGGUCUCGCGUCCCAUUAGCUAGUUGGUGAGGUAACGGCUCACCAAGGCUGCGAUGGGUAGCCGGCCUGAGAGGGUGAACGGCCACACUGGAACUGAGACACGGUCCAGACUCCUACGGGAGGCAGCAGUGGGGAAUAUUGCACAAUGGAGGAAACUCUGAUGCAGCGACGCCGCGUGAACGAUGAAGGCCUUCGGGUCGUAAAGUUCUGUCCUUGGGGACGAUAAUGACGGUACCCAAGGAGGAAGCCCCGGCUAACUACGUGCCAGCAGCGGC
Molecule: ribosomal RNA, 455 nt
Filed under: uncultured bacterium
Lineage: Bacteria
Description: bacterial SSU rRNA
Rfam family: Bacterial small subunit ribosomal RNA
Source: RNAcentral